CUCUUAUCAAGAGCUGGCUGAGGGAUUUGGCCCUGUGAAGCCCAGCAACCGACCGUAAUACCGUUGUGAGACGGGGCGCUGUAUGCGCCGGAAGAUUCCAUAAGGCACGGUGCUAAUUCCAACAGAAAGGAUACCUUUCUGAGAGAUAAGAG
This 152-nucleotide non-coding RNA is filed under the name [Bacillus] enclensis. Its description in RNAcentral is "Bacillus enclensis SAM-I sequence". It matches the Rfam family "SAM riboswitch aptamer (S box leader)". Rfam says of the family: The SAM riboswitch is found upstream of a number of genes which code for proteins involved in methionine or cysteine biosynthesis in Gram-positive bacteria. The SAM riboswitch acts at the level of transcription termination control. The record is from RNAcentral. Lineage: Bacteria; Bacillati; Bacillota; Bacilli; Caryophanales; Bacillaceae.